GAUGAACGCUGGCGGCGUGCCUAAUACAUGCAAGUCGAGCGAACAGACGAGGAGCUUGCUCCUCUGACGUUAGCGGCGGACGGGUGAGUAACACGUGGAUAACCUACCUAUAAGACUGGGAUAACUUCGGGAAACCGGAGCUAAUACCGGAUAACAUGUUGAACCGCAUGGUUCAACAGUGAAAGACGGUCUUGCUGUCACUUAUAGAUGGAUCCGCGCCGCAUUAGCUAGUUGGUAAGGUAACGGCUUACCAAGGCAACGAUGCGUAGCCGACCUGAGAGGGUGAUCGGCAACACUGGACCUGAGACACGGUCCAGACUCCUACGGGAGGCAGCAGUAGGGAAUCUUCCGCAAUGGGCGAAAGCCUGACGGAGCAACGCCGCGUGAGUGAAGAAGGUCUUCGGAUCGUAAAACUCUGUUAUUAGGGAAGAACAAAUGUGUAAGUAACUAUGCACGUCUUGACGGUACCUAAUCAGAAAGCCACGGCUAACUACGUG
RNAcentral lists this ribosomal RNA (497 nucleotides) under uncultured bacterium. RNAcentral's name for it is "partial 16S ribosomal RNA". It matches the Rfam family "Bacterial small subunit ribosomal RNA", at positions 28 to 507 of the family's 1533-position model. The record is from RNAcentral.